UGGAGCAUGUGGUUUAAUUCGAAGCAACGCGAAGAACCUUACCAGGCUUGACAUCCCGAUGCUAUUCUAGAGAUAGAAAGUUACUUCGGUACAUCGGUGACAGGUGGUGCAUGGUUGUCGUCAGCUCGUGUCGUGAGAUGUUGGGUUAAGUCCCGCAACGAGCGCAACCCCUAUUGUUAGUUGCCAUCAUUCAGUUGGGCACUCUAGCGAGACUGCCGGUAAUAAACCGGAGGAAGUGGGGAUGACGUCAAAUCAUCAUGCCCCUUAUGACCUGGGCUACACACGUGCUACAAUGGUUGGUACAACGAGUUGCGAGUCGGUGACGGCGAGCUAAUCUCUUAAAGCCAAUCUCAGUUCGGAUUGUAGGCUGCAACUCGCCUACAUGAAGUCGGAAUCGCUAGUAAUCGCGGAUCAGCACGCCGCGGUGAAUACGUUCCCGGGCCUU
This 445-nucleotide ribosomal RNA is filed under the name uncultured Streptococcus sp. Its description in RNAcentral is "bacterial SSU rRNA". It matches the Rfam family "Bacterial small subunit ribosomal RNA", at positions 933 to 1382 of the family's 1533-position model. The record is from RNAcentral. Lineage: Bacteria; Bacillati; Bacillota; Bacilli; Lactobacillales; Streptococcaceae.